This 492-nucleotide ribosomal RNA is filed under the name uncultured bacterium. RNAcentral's name for it is "partial 16S ribosomal RNA". It matches the Rfam family "Bacterial small subunit ribosomal RNA", at positions 29 to 507 of the family's 1533-position model. The record is from RNAcentral.
AGUGAACGCUGGCGGUAGGCCUAACACAUGCAAGUCGAACGGCAGCACAGUAAGAGCUUGCUCUUACGGGUGGCGAGUGGCGGACGGGUGAGGAAUACAUCGGAAUCUACUUUUUCGUGGGGGAUAACGUAGGGAAACUUACGCUAAUACCGCAUACGACCUACGGGUGAAAGCAGGGGAUCUUCGGACCUUGCGCGAUUGAAUGAGCCGAUGUCGGAUUAGCUAGUUGGCGGGGUAAAGGCCCACCAAGGCGACGAUCCGUAGCUGGUCUGAGAGGAUGAUCAGCCACACUGGAGGUGAGACACGGUCCAGACUCCUACGGGAGGCAGCAGAGGGGAAUAUUGGACAAUGGGCGCAAGCCUGAUCCAGCCAUACCGCGUGGGUGAAGAAGGCCUUCGGGUUGUAAAGCCCUUUUGUUGGGAAAGAAAAGCAGCAGGUUAAUAUCCCGCUGUUCUGACGGUACCCAAAGAAUAAGCACCGGCUAACUUCGUG